This 119-nucleotide ribosomal RNA is filed under the name Amphilophus citrinellus (Midas cichlid). The record is from RNAcentral. Lineage: Eukaryota; Metazoa; Chordata; Actinopteri; Cichliformes; Cichlidae.
GCUUACGGCCAUACUAUCCUGAGCACACCCAGUUGUGUCUGAAUUUGGAAGUUAAGCAGGGUUGGGCCUUGAUAGUACUUCAAUGGGAAACUGCCUUGCAAUACAGAGUGCUGUAAGCU